UAUAUCUGGGGAAAAAUCAUGGUGU
This 25-nucleotide non-coding RNA is filed under the name Rattus norvegicus (Norway rat). The record is from RNAcentral. Lineage: Eukaryota; Metazoa; Chordata; Mammalia; Rodentia; Muridae.